Molecule: ribosomal RNA, 362 nt
Filed under: uncultured bacterium
Lineage: Bacteria
Description: SSU rRNA
Rfam family: Bacterial small subunit ribosomal RNA
Source: RNAcentral
CAGCUGGUUGGUGGGGUAACGGCCUACCAAGGCGACGAUCGGUUGCUGGUCUGAGAGGACGAUCAGCCACACUGGGAUUGAGAACGGCCCAGACCCCUACGGGGGGCAGCAGUGAGGAAUUUUCCGCAAUGGACGCAAGUCUGACGGAGCAACGCCGCGUGCAGGACGAAGGUCUUCGGAUCGUAAACUGCUUUUCCCAGGGAAGAGCAAGGACGGUACCUGGGGAACAAGCCCCGGCUAACUACGUGCCAGCAGCCGCGGUAAUACGUAGGGGGCGAGCGUUGUCCGGAUUUAUUGGGCGCAAAGCGCCCGCAGGCGGUCGCGUCAGUUUGGGGUGACAUCUCCUGGCUUAACCGGGAGAG